GGGGGUUGGGGCGGUAGUUAAGUUGGUUAUAGCGCCGGCCUGUCACGCCGGAGGUCGCGGGUUCGAGCCCCGUCACUCCCGCCA
This 84-nucleotide transfer RNA is filed under the name Rhodobiaceae bacterium. RNAcentral's name for it is "tRNA-Asp". The stretch from base 8 to 81 matches the Rfam family "tRNA". From Rfam's summary of the family: Transfer RNA (tRNA) molecules are approximately 80 nucleotides in length. Their secondary structure includes four short double-helical elements and three loops (D, anti-codon, and T loops). Lineage: Bacteria; Pseudomonadati; Pseudomonadota; Alphaproteobacteria; Hyphomicrobiales; Rhodobiaceae. The record is from RNAcentral.